RNAcentral lists this ribosomal RNA (291 nucleotides) under Foraminifera environmental sample. Its description in RNAcentral is "partial small subunit ribosomal RNA". It matches the Rfam family "Eukaryotic small subunit ribosomal RNA", at positions 1160 to 1343 of the family's 1831-position model. Lineage: Eukaryota; Foraminifera. The record is from RNAcentral.
AAGGGCACCACAAGAACGCGUGGAGCAUGUGGCUUAAUUUGACUCAACGCGGGGAAACUUACCGGGUCCGGACACACUGAGGAUUGACAGGCGCCUAAAUUGUGCGAGUCCUUUCAUGAUUGUGUGAUAGGUGGUGCAUGGCCGUUCUUAGUUCGUGGAGUGAUCUGUCUGCUUAAUUGCGCUUCAGAUUAUUUGGACAUUCCUUUCAAGGCCGGUCCCUUGGGCUUCUCUUGUAGUCGCCUUUGAGGGUCUCGGUCUGAGGAUGUCCUACGAAAGCAACGAACGUGACCG